UUAUGGUAAUUAACCCAUUGAGUGGAAGCACUUUCCCCCUGACAAGUAAAAUUCAAUUUUACUUGUCAGGGGGAAAGUGCUUCCACUCAAUGGGUUAAUUACCAUAA
Molecule: non-coding RNA, 107 nt
Organism: Paramuricea clavata
Lineage: Eukaryota; Metazoa; Cnidaria; Anthozoa; Malacalcyonacea; Plexauridae
Source: the annotation of a GenBank genome assembly